This is a small nuclear RNA of Cricetulus griseus (Chinese hamster), 105 nucleotides long. The record is from Ensembl. NCBI's taxonomy places the organism in Eukaryota, Metazoa, Chordata, Mammalia, Rodentia, Cricetidae.
GCGCUCACCUCAGCAGCACACAUACUAAGAUUGCAAGGAUACAGAGAUUAUCAUGGCCCCUGGGCAAGGAUGACACAAAGUGUCCCUCAUUUUAAAACAAUGUGU